Molecule: ribosomal RNA, 460 nt
Filed under: uncultured bacterium
Lineage: Bacteria
Description: partial 16S ribosomal RNA
Rfam family: Bacterial small subunit ribosomal RNA
Source: RNAcentral
CCUACGGGAGGCAGCAGUGAGGAAUAUUGGUCAAUGGACGCAAGUCUGAACCAGCCAUGCCGCGUGCAGGAAGACGGCCCUAUGAGUUGUAAACUGCUUUUGUACGAGGGUAAACUCAGAUACGCGUACCUUUCUGCAAGUAUCUUACGAAUAAGGAUCGGCUAACUCCGUGCCAGCAGCCGCGGUAAUACGGAGGAUUCAAGCGUUAUCCGGAUUUAUUGGGUUUAAAGGGUGCGUAGGCGGGCGGAUAAGUUAGAGGUGAAAGUCUGAGGCUCAACCUGGGAAUUGCCGUUGAUACUGGCAGGCUAGAGAGCAGUUGAGGUAGGCGGAAUGCAUGGUGUAGCGGUGAAAUGCUUAGAGAUCAUACAGAACACCGAUUGCGAAGGCAGCUUACCAAGCUAUGACUGACGUUGAGGCACGAAAGCGUGGGUAGCAAACAGGAUUAGAUACCCGAGUAGUC